GACGAACGCUGGCGGCGUGCCUAAUACAUGCAAGUUGAGCGCUGAAGGUUGGUACUUGUACCAACUGGAUGAGCAGCGAACGGGUGAGUAACGCGUGGGGAAUCUGCCUUUGAGCGGGGGACAACAUUUGGAAACGAAUGCUAAUACCGCAUAAAAACUUUAAACACAAGUUUUAAGUUUGAAAGAUGCAAUUGCCUCACUCAAAGAUGAUCCCGCGUUGUAUUAGCUAGUUGGUGAGGUAAAGGCUCACCAAGGCGAUGAUACAUAGCCGACCUGAGAGGGUGAUCGGCCACAUUGGGACUGAGACACGGCCCAAACUCCUACGGGAGGCAGCAGUAGGGAAUCUUCGGCAAUGGACGAAAGUCUGACCGAGCAACGCCGCGUGAGUGAAGAAGGUUUUCGGAUCGUAAAACUCGGUUGGUAGAGAAGAACGUUGGUGAGAGUGGAAAGCUCAUCAAGUGACGGUAACUACCCAGAAAGGGACGGCUAACUACGUG
RNAcentral lists this ribosomal RNA (497 nucleotides) under uncultured bacterium. Its description in RNAcentral is "partial 16S ribosomal RNA". It matches the Rfam family "Bacterial small subunit ribosomal RNA", at positions 28 to 507 of the family's 1533-position model. The record is from RNAcentral.